AUAAAUAUAGUUUAAUCAAAACAUUAGAUUGUGAAUCUAAUCAUAGAGGUCCACUACUUCUUAUUUACC
Papio anubis (olive baboon) is the source of this 69-nucleotide non-coding RNA. The record is from Rfam. Lineage: Eukaryota; Metazoa; Chordata; Mammalia; Primates; Cercopithecidae.